Acanthosepion pharaonis is the source of this 113-nucleotide non-coding RNA. NCBI's taxonomy places the organism in Eukaryota, Metazoa, Mollusca, Cephalopoda, Sepiida, Sepiidae. The record is from the annotation of a GenBank genome assembly.
UUAUGGCCAUCUCACGUCGAAACACCAGUUCUCGCUCGAUAAUCGAAAUUAAGCAACGUCGAGUCUGGUCAGUACCUAGGUGGGUGACCGCUUGGAAAUACCAGGCACUGUAA